GACGAACGCUGGCGGCGUGCCUAAUACAUGCAAGUAGAACGCUGAAGGAGGAGCUUGCUUCUCUGGAUGAGUUGCGAACGGGUGAGUAACGCGUAGGUAACCUGCCUGGUAGCGGGGGAUAACUAUUGGAAACGAUAGCUAAUACCGCAUAAGAGUAGAUGUUGCAUGACAUUUGCUUAAAAGGUGCAAUUGCAUCACUACCAGAUGGACCUGCGUUGUAUUAGCUAGUUGGUGGGGUAACGGCUCACCAAGGCGACGAUACAUAGCCGACCUGAGAGGGGGAUCGGCCACGCUGGGACUGGGACACGGCCCAGACUCCUACGGGAGGCAGCAGUAGGGAAUCUUCGGCAAUGGACGGAAGUCUGACCGAGCAACGCCGCGUGAGUGAAGAAGGUUUUCGGAUCGUAAAGCUCUGUUGUAAGAGAAGAACGAGUGUGAGAGUGGAAAGUUCACACUGUGACGGUAUCUUACCAGAAAGGGACGGCUAACUACGUG
This 495-nucleotide ribosomal RNA is filed under the name uncultured bacterium. RNAcentral describes it as "partial 16S ribosomal RNA". It matches the Rfam family "Bacterial small subunit ribosomal RNA", at positions 28 to 507 of the family's 1533-position model. The record is from RNAcentral.